UCUCAAUACUUGGCCACCAAUAACCAAGAGAGAGAUGGUACCUUCUACAAGGAUCGAGUCUCCUAAGAAUCCAAUUAAAGGAGAAUUGAUCCUCCUCAAUUGGUUUGAAGGUAGAUUUAUCUUAUAGGCAUCAUAAAAUAAGAUACCACCAAGCUUCCACUAUCUGCUAAACUUCUUUGUAUAUCAUAAUUUAUAACAUAUAGUUAAGGAAACCACCACAACAUCGCCAUGAGGGGUCC
RNAcentral lists this long non-coding RNA (239 nucleotides) under Elaeis guineensis (African oil palm). RNAcentral describes it as "long non-coding RNA (EGUI_LNC036244)". The record is from RNAcentral. Lineage: Eukaryota; Viridiplantae; Streptophyta; Magnoliopsida; Arecales; Arecaceae.